Molecule: transfer RNA, 72 nt
Filed under: Microbacterium sp. Leaf203
Lineage: Bacteria; Bacillati; Actinomycetota; Actinomycetes; Micrococcales; Microbacteriaceae
Rfam family: tRNA
About the family: Transfer RNA (tRNA) molecules are approximately 80 nucleotides in length.
Source: Rfam by way of RNAcentral
GGGCUAGUGGCACAGCGGAAGCGCACCGGUCUCCGGAACCGGCGGUCGCGGGUUCGAAUCCCGCCUAGCCCA